Molecule: ribosomal RNA, 696 nt
Filed under: uncultured bacterium
Lineage: Bacteria
Description: bacterial SSU rRNA
Rfam family: Bacterial small subunit ribosomal RNA
Source: RNAcentral
GAGUUUGAUCCUGGCUCAGAUUGAACGCUGGCGGCAGGCCUAACACAUGCAAGUCGAACGGUAACAGAAAGCAGCUUGCUGCUUUGCUGACGAGUGGCGGACGGGUGAGUAAUGUCUGGGAAACUGCCUGAUGGAGGGGGAUAACUACUGGAAACGGUAGCUAAUACCGCAUAAUGUCGCAAGACCAAAGAGGGGGACCUUCGGGCCUCUUGCCAUCGGAUGUGCCCAGAUGGGAUUAGCUAGUAGGUGGGGUAACGGCUCACCUAGGCGACGAUCCCUAGCUGGUCUGAGAGGAUGACCAGCCACACUGGAACUGAGACACGGUCCAGACUCCUACGGGAGGCAGCAGUGGGGAAUAUUGCACAAUGGGCGCAAGCCUGAUGCAGCCAUGCCGCGUGUAUGAAGAAGGCCUUCGGGUUGUAAAGUACUUUCAGCGGGGAGGAAGGGAGUAAAGUUAAUACCUUUGCUCAUUGACGUUACCCGCAGAAGAAGCACCGGCUAACUCCGUGCCAGCAGCCGCGGUAAUACGGAGGGUGCAAGCGUUAAUCGGAAUUACUGGGCGUAAAGCGCACGCAGGCGGUUUGUUAAGUCAGAUGUGAAAUCCCCGGGCUCAACCUGGGAACUGCAUCUGAUACUGGCAAGCUUGAGUCUCGUAGAGGGGGGUAGAAUUCCAGGUGUAGCGGUGAAAUGCGUAGA